RNAcentral lists this ribosomal RNA (447 nucleotides) under uncultured bacterium. Its description in RNAcentral is "bacterial SSU rRNA". It matches the Rfam family "Bacterial small subunit ribosomal RNA", at positions 328 to 792 of the family's 1533-position model. The record is from RNAcentral.
UUACCAGACUCCUACGGGAGGCAGCAGUGGGGGAUAUUGCACAAUGGGGGAAACCCUGAUGCAGCGACGCCGCGUGGGUGAAGAAGCGCCUCGGCGCGUAAAGCCCUGUCAGCAGGGAAGAAAAUGACGGUACCUGAAGAAGAAGCCCCGGCUAACUACGUGCCAGCAGCCGCGGUAAUACGUAGGGGGCAAGCGUUAUCCGGAUUCACUGGGUGUAAAGGGAGCGUAGACGGCCAUGCAAGCCUGGAGUGAAAGCCCGGGGCCCAACCCCGGGACUGCUCUGGGAACUGUGCGGCUGGAGUGCGGGAGGGGCAGGCGGAAUUCCUGGUGUAGCGGUGAGAUGCGUAGAUAUCAGGAGGAACACCGGCGGCGAAGGCGGCCUGCUGGACCGCGACUGACGUUGAGGCUCGAAAGCGUGGGGAGCAAACAGGAUUAGAUACCCCUGUA